GGUGAUUAUCGGGUGGUUCCCUAAUCUCCCUGCGUAGGAGAGGGUUUCGUAUCGGCCGGGGCCGAGCGGUGCGCGUCCGGUGGUGAUCACC
RNAcentral lists this transfer RNA (91 nucleotides) under Nocardia ninae. Its description in RNAcentral is "tRNA-Arg". Lineage: Bacteria; Bacillati; Actinomycetota; Actinomycetes; Mycobacteriales; Nocardiaceae. The record is from RNAcentral. RNAcentral also lists the same sequence under 1 other name.